Molecule: non-coding RNA, 30 nt
Filed under: Rattus norvegicus (Norway rat)
Lineage: Eukaryota; Metazoa; Chordata; Mammalia; Rodentia; Muridae
Source: RNAcentral
UUGGAUGCACAAUAAAUCCUUGAGAAGUGA